This 465-nucleotide ribosomal RNA is filed under the name uncultured bacterium. RNAcentral describes it as "partial 16S ribosomal RNA". It matches the Rfam family "Bacterial small subunit ribosomal RNA", at positions 338 to 795 of the family's 1533-position model. The record is from RNAcentral.
CCUACGUGGGACAGCAGUGGGGAAUAUUGCGCAAUGGGCGAAAGCCUGACGCAGCGACGCCGCGUGAGGGAUGAAGGUCUUCGGAUCGUAAACCUCUGUCAGCAGGGAAGAACGGUCACUGUGCUAAUCAGCAGUGAAUUGACGGUACCUGCAAAGGAAGCACCGGCUAACUCCGUGCCAGCAGCCGCGGUAAUACGGAGGGUGCGAGCGUUAAUCGGAAUUACUGGGCGUAAAGCGCUCGUAGGCGGUAUGUCAAGUCAAGGGUGAAAUCCCCGCGCUCAACGUGGGAACUGCCUUUGAAACUGGCAAACUGGAGUGUGUGAGAGGAUAGUGGAAUUCCAGGUGUAGGAGUGAAAUCCGUAGAUAUCUGGAGGAACAUCAGGGGCGAAGGCGACUAUCUGGCACAUAACUGACGCUGAGGAGCGAAAGCGUGGGUAGCAAACAGGAUUAGAUACCCCAGUAGUC